CUUGUCUCGUGUGUGUGUGUCCUGACAAAGAUGUCUACCUACUUCUGUUCAUACUCGGUAAUCUGGUGAUACCGCCCAUGAUGUCAUGCUGGUGUUAGCCCACAAGGUGGUGCUGUCAAGCUAUCAUUGGAUCUUCAAUCCACCAGACGAGCUCUCCUGGUCGCCACACAGCAGUAAGCAAGAUGUUCCUGGAGCUGAGUCACCUCUGUCACCAUCU
Sebastes umbrosus (honeycomb rockfish) is the source of this 217-nucleotide long non-coding RNA. RefSeq lists it as uncharacterized. The transcript is spliced from 3 exons. Lineage: Eukaryota; Metazoa; Chordata; Actinopteri; Perciformes; Sebastidae. The record is from RefSeq and is a predicted model, not a curated record.